CAGGUCGCGAUGCAACAGUCUAUACACUGACGGAGCGCGCUUGGCGAGUCGCUCAUUAUGGCAACGAAAGGGAAGCAAUCGUUUGGACGUUCUCUUGCUGUUCAGUAUGAAGUUGCAUUAUUGGAUAAAAGUCAAAGUGGCAAGGUUGCAACAGAAGAGAGGGCGAACAUUUGUUUUCAUCUUCUAGACGAACUGAUUCCUCAACUUGGAAUGUACCAGAAUGUCUUCAAAAUGAUAAGAGAUGAGCUGUUUGAGGCUGUCUAUAGUACAGAACUAACAGCAUUUCAGGCUCACACUGAAUCAUCAAACUCUGCUGUACAAAGGCUUCCAUAUUUUGUUCUGGUUCAGAGGUCGGAUCAGCAAAGAAAUGAGGCAUGUCUUUUACUGGAAGAUAAAAUAAAGAAGUUAGAAAACAGGUUGACAAUGAGAGAAGUUGAACUGCAAGAUGCACAGAAGAAAAUAGAGAUGUUGAGUAAAGAAACGAAGAGCCAUCAGAAAACUGCUGACACUAUGAAGAUUGAGGCAAAGAAGUUGAUGGAUGAAAAUAAACGGCUCUCUAAAGUGGUUGGUCAGCAUCAACGAGCACAGCAAAGAAUGGCCAUGGACAUGGAGUCAAGAAUGAACCAAAUGAAGAGUUCAUAUGGCACGUUGGCUAUCGAGUUAGAUAUGCUGCGCAAAUAUAAGGCUGGGUAUGAUGAGCUGGAACAAUCAUUUGCAGGUUCAAGUGCUUUAGAAAGAAACAACAGUGGAAAAGUUUCAGAACUGGAACAGACCAUACACACUCUGCAAUUGGGAGUUUCUUUGAAACAUCAACUGUUGGAACUGCAGAAUGUCAUAAUAGAGGAGUAUGACCUGCAAUUAGAAGAUCAUCGGCUUCCAUUGUUGCAUUUGGAUACAAUCUCUCAGUUUAGCAAGGACACAAUUGAAUUGCUGUCUUCUGCUGGACAGCAGUUUGUCAGUAGGAUUGGUGAGAUAACAGCUGAAAUGACUCAAUUAAGUAAGUGUGUUGAUCAAACACAAGAUCGUGUGACCAAACAGAAGCAACCACGGCAAAAGAGAAUCUCUAGUACUCGGACCCUCUCACAAUCUUGCUCUGAUGAUUUGUCAAGUAGGAAUGAGUUGGCAAAGAUGCAUCCUGUUAUGGCAGAACCAUCUUUCUCAUGUGUGUGGAACUAUUGGAAACAAGUCAGCAAGCUGGAGAGGGCAGUUCCACGUGAUCUACAACGAGAACGUGUUCUCUCAAUGGUAAAUCAGUUUUAUGCAACAAUGUUGUGGGAUGAUGAAUCAAAUACAGAGGAUGCUAUGUCAAUACUGGAUUCAUUACAUGAAUUUCUUGUAAAUCGUUACUUGAUUCCUGAUGUUGCUCAAUUGGUAUAUCAUGAUUUGAUAUGCGGAGUCAUCAAACAUUUGCCAUCAAGUCUUUCUAUUCACUUAUUUGGUGAUAUAUUAAAUGGUCGCCUGGAUGCUGCUUCAUUCCGCUACGUGCUCCUGCUAUGUGAUUUUAUCAGGCUGGUAGAAUGGGAAUCAGCACAAGACUUCAAGCCAUUUGCUACAGCAAUUUAUCCUUUCUUAUCAGAGGAUGAUGUUGAGCAGAUGACAAUGUCAUUUGUGGCCUUCUCAGAGAAUCGUGUUUCAAACCAUCUCAUUGCAAAUUACAUUAUCUAUCUCCUUCUCAAACAUAGAGAACCAAGAAUUGUAGAAUGUGAAGCACGGCUGUUACAGCAUCCUGGUCAUCGUUCUGGUCUCUUAAACGAGAUUGAGUUCACUGAGGCUUUGGAAACUCUUCUUCCAUUGACUUCUGAUCAACUUCGUAGGAGACUUUAUCUUCAGUCUCAAGCUGACAUGCCAAAAGGGCUUGAUGCAGUUCCUAUCUCUAGAUUAGCACAAACCUUUGCUUAUCUUGGUCUUCUUCAGCUUUCUGGUAUAAUCCGAGGAUCAUUAGUUUGCAAUGUCUUGGAAGGUCGUUCUCAAAAUCUCCUCUCGGCAACAUCGUCAUCAGAAAUGGCUUAUAGAUCUUUGUGCAGCCAUCAGUCGUUCAGAUUCCGGACUACCACAUAGCAGACAGCCUUUUGUAUCUUUGACUACUCUGACAACGGCCUCCAAGUCUUUGAAAACGGCACAGUUAUAAACCUAAUAGAUAUUACUACACACCUAGAUUAUAUUGGCAUGGGAGACACUUGCUUCCAAUGAGUCAACCACACAGAGCCCAACAUCUGGUCGUGGUGCAUCACCUCAUCAUUGCACAGGACUUCCAGCUAAGAAGUGACAGAAUGUCGUAUUAAUUUUAAACAUAUUCUAGAUGCAUGAUUUAGAGUCAGUGACGUAAUUAAUAAAGAAAAAAGUAC
Corticium candelabrum is the source of this 2345-nucleotide RNA transcript. RefSeq lists it as uncharacterized. The transcript has 22 exons. NCBI's taxonomy places the organism in Eukaryota, Metazoa, Porifera, Homoscleromorpha, Homosclerophorida, Plakinidae. The record is from RefSeq and is a predicted model, not a curated record.